AUGGCGGCCAUCCAAACUGAAAUUCUUGUGCUGGAUUUGACAGCCUCAAGUUUCUCCACAUUUCAGGUCCCACAAGGGUUGGUUAUUGGUUACAAACGAACCAUGUUGUCACGGGCAUAUGAUAAUUCUGGUGUGUAUCUCAUUCAUUUGAACGGGCUUCAGCUUUGCAUCUGGCUGCGCACAGGGGACAACUGGUUGCUGGUGGAUACCAUUUGCUUGCGUGAGAUGUAUGCUAAAUUGAGGAUGCCUGAUCUUACAGAUAGGGUGUGGAUAAAUCAGGUGGGGAUAAAUGCUGAGUUUGUUUUCUUGAGGAUGGGUCGAUGCCUAGUCUAUGUGGUAUCAAGUGCAGGAAGUUGUGUAAAGUGUAUGAGAUGA
Molecule: ribosomal RNA, 375 nt
Filed under: Triticum aestivum (bread wheat)
Lineage: Eukaryota; Viridiplantae; Streptophyta; Magnoliopsida; Poales; Poaceae
Description: partial small subunit ribosomal RNA
Source: RNAcentral